UAAUUUCGUUGGUUUAAUCUUAAGUUUAGGAGUAAGUUAAGAAUUUUUAAAGGGAAACAGCGAUGGAGAAGAAAUCUAUAGAGUAAGGAAGAUAAUUACCUUUUGCAUAAUGGUUAAACAAAAAAUAAAGAGGGUUUCUUGUUCCCGAAGCAAGGAAGAUCUAAGUUCAAGAGUUAUACUAGUAAACUACUUUUUAUGUGGCAAUAUAAUAAUAGUACUUGAAACUUAGGGGCGAAAAACCUACAAUUCUUGGGAUAUCUGGAUGGUUAGGAAAGGUUAGUAUCACCAAUAGGACAGACAUGGAGUGUCGAGAUUUCAUGUUCAGAGAAUAAGUAUAGGUUAGUUUUUUAAGAUUGGCUAAUAACUUUCUUUUUGGCUGUAAGGAAGAUUCCCUAUGUAGUUGAUCUCUAAAAUUCUAGCUCACUUGUUGGUUAAUUUUUUUCACAAGAUGAUAAUGUUUAAAUUAGUAAUAAAUUGAUAUAAUCGACCCUAAGGAACUCGGCAAAAAGAAAACCUCAACUGUUUAUCAAAAACAUAGCCACAGGGAGUUAUCUGAGGUUAGGCCUGCCCAGUGUAAGAAACGUAUAAAUGGCCGCAGUACCCUGACUGUGCGAAGGUAGCGUAAUCAGUUGGCUUUUAAAUGGAGUCGUGUAUGAAUGGCUUUUUGGGGUUUAGCUGUCUCUGGGUUGUUUUAUUGAACUUUCACUUGAGGUGAAAAUUCCUCUGAGAAGAUAAAAGACGAGAAGACCCUUAGAGUUUUUAUUGCCUGGUUUAAUGUCCUAGGUUAAUUUUUGUUGGGGCGACAGGGAAGCAGAAGAUGUGUGAUUUUUAACCUUCCUUGUGAUAGAUGUUAACUAGUCGGAGCUUUCAAGAAGGAAGAAACUACCUGAGGGAUAACAGCAUAAUUCUGUGAAGAGUUUGUGACCUCGAUGUUGGACUAGGAAACCUUUGAACUAGCAGUUGGAGGGGGUUGUUCUGUUCGAACUAUUAAUUCCUACAUGAUCUGAGUUCAGACCGGCGUAAGCCAGGUCAGAUUCUAUCUUUAAGAUUUUGGGCUUUUAGUACGAAAGGAUUGAAGCUCUGCACGUAUGAAAAUGUUGUGUAAUGUA
RNAcentral lists this ribosomal RNA (1109 nucleotides) under Siphonaria gigas (giant false limpet). Its description in RNAcentral is "16S ribosomal RNA". It matches the Rfam family "Bacterial large subunit ribosomal RNA", at positions 1020 to 2733 of the family's 2925-position model. The record is from RNAcentral. Lineage: Eukaryota; Metazoa; Mollusca; Gastropoda; Siphonariida; Siphonariidae.